This 946-nucleotide long non-coding RNA is filed under the name Mytilus galloprovincialis (Mediterranean mussel). The record is from RNAcentral. Lineage: Eukaryota; Metazoa; Mollusca; Bivalvia; Mytilida; Mytilidae.
GUUUGUAACAGUUUUGGUUAAAUACAAUAAAAUUCAGUUAAUAUGACAGAACAACAUAAAAAGAAUAUCACAGUUAGGCAGUAAACAAACAAAACUUCAUAAGUUCAGGAAACCAAUUUUAAUGGUUUGACAUUAUGCUUUUUAGUUAAUGUAAUUUUUAACAUUUUCUGUAUACCUAGGAAUAUCAGUCCCGGUAUAUAGAAAAAAGAAAUGAUUCAUCAUUUGAAAAAUAACAAGAAUGUGUCCCCAGUACACGGAUGCCCCACUAGCACUAUCAUUUUUUAUGUUUAGUGGACCGUCAAAACUCUUAUUUGGCAUUAAAAUUAGAAAGAUCAUAUCAUAAGGAGCAUGUGUACUAAGUUUCAAGUUGAUUGGACUUCAACUUCAUCAAAAUCUACCUUGACCAAAACUUUAAACCUGAAGCAGGACGAAAGAACAGACAGACAGACAAACGAACCUACAGACCAGAAAACAUAAUGCCCCUCUACUAUCGUAGGUGGGGCCAAAAUAAAAAUCCAGGUGCUUGUAAGCACUUAGAGGUAAAGAUUGCAUUAAUUUAUCAGUAUGAAGUAAAAUUGAAUAUUGCAUUGUCAAUAAAGCAUUGGUUGUAGUUGAUUCAACUACAAUUCUGGACAAUGGGAGAUAACUCCAAUUUUCAAAAAUGACUUUAACAAUGACAUCAUUUAUAUUUUUAGAACAGAUAUUAGAUUUCUGCACCUUGUUAAAGUUAUGUAUUUUAUUGAAAGUUUUAACUUCAUUUUGUGACUUGAAUAUCUUAGCAUAUGUUUCAUUGCUAAAUUUCUGGAAAUGUUCAUGGGUUGGAUGUAUAGAAUGUUAUGAUCAAUGCACUAUAUUUUGUGUAUCAAAAAGGUAGUGAUCAGCCUUGGAAGAUUUAGAUAUCAAGUCAGUAACAUAGGGUCAUGCAAUUUUAGCCCCAAACUAGAAU